CGGAAGUUUUCGGAUGGAAGCUAGAUUGACUGAGUGGCGGACGGGUGAGUAACGCGUGGGUAACCUGCCUCACACUAGGGGACAACAGUUAGAAAUGACUGCUAAUACCGCAUAAGCGCACAGUUCCGCAUGGAACGGUGUGAAAAACUCCGGUGGUGUGAGAUGGACCCGCGUCUGAUUAGCCAGUUGGCGGGUAACGGCCCACCAAAGCGACGAUCAGUAGCCGGACUGAGAGGUUGAACGGCCACAUUGGGACUGAGAUACGGCCCAGACUCC
RNAcentral lists this ribosomal RNA (276 nucleotides) under uncultured Eubacteriales bacterium. RNAcentral describes it as "uncultured Clostridiales bacterium partial 16S ribosomal RNA". It matches the Rfam family "Bacterial small subunit ribosomal RNA", at positions 68 to 339 of the family's 1533-position model. The record is from RNAcentral. Lineage: Bacteria; Bacillati; Bacillota; Clostridia; Eubacteriales.